UUUAUGWGUAGUAAAAUUGUAAAAAAAGUGAUGGUCCGCUGGAGUAGGCUGCGAGGCCCAAGAGUAGUAAGAGUAAGCAAGCCCACCUUUUAUGUGUAGUAAAAUUGUAAAAAAAGUGAUGGUCCGCUGGAGUAGGCUGCGAGGCCCAAGAGUAGUAAGAGUAAGCAAGCCCACCUUUUAUGUGUAGUAAAAUUGUAAAAAAAGUGAUGGUUCAUUGGAGUAAGCAAGCCAAUCAACACCUCUAGGAGUACUAUUCCGAAGCUGUAAACGUCGCCAUGGACUGAAGCUUGGCCACUUUGGGCAUACUCUACAAAAAAUAUUAGCAGUAAAUGUUAAUGUAAAUAACAACUGACCAUACAAAAAAGCAAGUUUGUGUAUUACUCCCUCCGUUCCUAAAUAUAAGUCUUUUUAGACAUUUCACUAGAAGGCUACAUACGGAGCAAAAUGAAUGAAUCGAUAAUCUAAAUUAUGUCUAUAUACAUCUGUAUGUAGUCCUUUUAGUGA
This 504-nucleotide long non-coding RNA is filed under the name Hordeum vulgare. Its description in RNAcentral is "long non-coding RNA (HVUL_LNC017227)". The record is from RNAcentral. Lineage: Eukaryota; Viridiplantae; Streptophyta; Magnoliopsida; Poales; Poaceae.